GUGGACAUCUUACUAGACAGUGCUGGAUUUUGUCAGUGUACUCUAACACUGUCUGGUAACGAUGUUUAA
This is a microRNA precursor of Ophiophagus hannah (king cobra), 69 nucleotides long. It matches the Rfam family "mir-8/mir-141/mir-200 microRNA precursor family". From Rfam's summary of the family: The bounds of the precursors are predicted based on conservation and base pairing and are not generally known. NCBI's taxonomy places the organism in Eukaryota, Metazoa, Chordata, Lepidosauria, Squamata, Elapidae. The record is from Rfam.